RNAcentral lists this ribosomal RNA (253 nucleotides) under uncultured bacterium. RNAcentral's name for it is "partial 16S ribosomal RNA". It matches the Rfam family "Bacterial small subunit ribosomal RNA", at positions 524 to 776 of the family's 1533-position model. The record is from RNAcentral.
GACAGAGGGUGCAAACGUUGCUCGGAAUUACUGGGCGUAAAGCGCGUGUAGGCGGUUUCUUAAGUCAGGUGUGAAAGCCCGAGGCUCAACCUCGGAAGUGCACAUGAUACUGGGAAGCUUGAGUACUGAAGAGGAGAGCGGAAUUCUCGGUGUAGAGGUGAAAUUCGUAGAUAUCGGGAGGAACACCAGUGGCGAAGGCGGCUCUCUGGGCAGAUACUGACGCUGAGACGCGAAAGCAUGGGGAGCAAACAGG